CAAAAGGCCAGUGGAGGCAUCGUCACCUGAGAACAUCUUGAUGUCAAACCUGUGGAUGAUUCCCAGCUGGGAAUGCAGUCACACUCGUACAGAAGUGAGCAUGAGGGGAGAGGUGGUAAAUGUGUGACAUGAUCUCUCCCCCACCACCUGCCUGUCCUAGGGCACCAUUCUCCAUCCUGGGCCAAGCUGCUCCAUCAGUCUGACUGGUCAGACGCUGCCAGGUCCCAGUGAAGUCCAUCGCUGAAUGUCUUGGGGCAUGUGUGGGAGCAAGACUGGAUGCGUAAAGUGAGCACUGUGUUCUACUCUUUGCAGGCUUCCUUGCUGUAUCCCACUGAAGGGGAUAAGAAGAAGGAAUCAUUGGGACUGUCUUUGAUCCCCCCAAUACUCAGGGAAGUAAGUCCCGAUGUUGGCAGUGCUGCAGGGUCUCUGCAAAGCUCUCUGCAGCUGGAUGUGCAAGAGUCCCAGGAGAUGAGGUCCACAUCCGGCAGCAGAAGUGAAGAUGACGACUCUGAAGAAGGAGGUAGGUACAGGACAUGUCUGUCCUCAAAUGACCAUUGGAAUUUUGACACAGAAUUCGUAUUUUGAAUGAUUGAGUAAAAAUAAUUCUCUUCAAAAAUUCUUCAAUUUGAUUUCACUUUUUUAUUGGGCUCAGUGGGCUCCUGAAGAGCCCAAUCACUGGGAGUGUGCUGUGAUGGUGCAGUGAAAAUUCCUCCAGUGUGAAGUGUUGUGUGGCUGAGCUGGAAUGGUACCUUGGGGCCCUGGAAGUGCAGCACAGGAAAAGGAAACAUUCCUCUCCAUCCAGCACUUGCCCUUCAUCUCCCUGCAGCAUUUCCAGUGUCACAGUUAGUAGAGAAUAAGCAGGCAUUUAUCAUGAAAUGGGAAAUGUUCCCAGUCCUUCGUCCUGCCCUUAAAGGAGAAAA
Molecule: long non-coding RNA, 920 nt
Filed under: Cyanistes caeruleus (blue tit)
Lineage: Eukaryota; Metazoa; Chordata; Aves; Passeriformes; Paridae
Description: lncRNA (ENSCCEG00000004289.1)
Source: RNAcentral